RNAcentral lists this ribosomal RNA (500 nucleotides) under uncultured bacterium. Its description in RNAcentral is "partial 16S ribosomal RNA". It matches the Rfam family "Bacterial small subunit ribosomal RNA", at positions 30 to 523 of the family's 1533-position model. The record is from RNAcentral.
AUUGAACGCUGGCGGAAUGCUUUACACAUGCAAGUCGAACGGCAGCACGGACUUCGGUCUGGUGGCGAGUGGCGAACGGGUGAGUAAUGUAUCGGAACGUGCCCAGUCGUGGGGGAUAACGUAGUGAAAAUUACGCUAAUACCGCAUACGAUCUAUGGAUGAAAGCGGGGGAUCGCAAGACCUCGCGCGAUUGGAGCGGCCGAUAUCAGAUUAGGUAGUUGGUGGGGUAAAGGCCCACCAAGCCAACGAUCUGUAGCUGGUCUGGGAGGACGACCAGCCACACUGGAACUGAGACACGGUCCAGACUCCUACGGGAGGCAGCAGUGGGGAAUUUUGGACAAUGGGCGAAGGCCUGAUCCAGCCAUUCCGCGUGCAGGAUGAAGGCCCUCGGGUUGUAAACUGCUUUUGUACAGAACGAAAAGGUUUCUACUAAUACUAGGAGCUCAUGACGGUACUGUAAGAAUAAGCACCGGCUAACUACGUGCCAGCAGCCGCGGUAA